This is a long non-coding RNA of Bactrocera dorsalis (oriental fruit fly), 2967 nucleotides long. RefSeq lists it as uncharacterized. NCBI's taxonomy places the organism in Eukaryota, Metazoa, Arthropoda, Insecta, Diptera, Tephritidae. The transcript has 2 exons. The record is from RefSeq and is a predicted model, not a curated record.
AGAAUUUUUAUGAGUUAACUUGAAUAACCUAAUAUUUUGUCUUUUAGUUCGAAAACUUGUAAAUAACACUAUAACAAAAAUGAAAAAAGAUGUAAAGAAAAAAUAUUCAAAACAAAUAUAUUAUUUUCUAAAACAAUCACAUGUAUGUUUGGUAUGUAUAUAUGUAUGUAUGCAUUUCUAACAAAGUUGCUUAGAUGUUUUCAAAUUUGGUAAGAUAUAUCGAGCCGACAGUAAAGCAGUAAAAAAAACGAAAAACAGCGCAUGUUUGAAUAUAUAUAUAUAUAUUUUUUUUUUAUUUUCUAGUGAUUUAGUUUGCUUUUGGGAAAAAGGCAAAGUUAUGUAUUAAGUUACAGAAAAAGUUACAUACUCAAUUCAUUAUGGAAUGCUUAUGAUAUAAACUUUGCAUGGAACCUGAAUAUUUAUACAUUUGCAAUAUGUUGCUACAGAGUGUUAUAAUUUUGUUCACCUAUAUAUAGAAAUGAUCGGUUACCGUCCGUCCUUCCCUGCAAGCCAGGCGCUCUAGUAGGUUUAAUAUGGAUAUCUCAGAAACCACUAUAGUUAGAAAGAAAGUCCUUCGAAUAUUAUGGUUAGUCAGAAAAAUUUUUAAAACAUUACAACCACUCCCACUCUCCAUAAACCAUUAUGUUGAAAACUACUUAAUACGCGAUAAAUCAAUAAGCAAAUACAUCAUAAGCAUUCAAUUUCUCAUCUUGUAUGUUACGGAAGAGCCUCAUAAAAGCCCGUGACAAAAUUGGACAAUGAGCCUGUCACAGUCCACCCAUUUCAACUAAAUUCGGUCAAUAAGAUUAUGUUGACAUUUUUAUCUGCUAUUUUAUAUUUAUAAUUGUAUAUAGUGAAAUUCCUCAUAACCGGACACCCACCGUCGCAGUGUGAGCUCUAAAUGUAUUCCUACUAAAUAAAUAUAUGCGAGCCAUCGCACAUCAGACGGCGCCAGUGCUAUGAUCAUUUUACGUAUUGUCUUUAGAAACAACGCCACAGAAGACCAAAAAUAAAUAUGAAUUGAAAAAAUGGGAAACUAUUCAUAAAUUGUACAUAAUUUUCUUCAGACAUUUUAUGAAAUAUUGCCGUUUAUCUGGGGUUAUUUGAACGAAAUAUUAUCAAAAUAGUGUCCGUUUCCGGUCAUUGGAACGUUUUUGAGUUAUUGAUCAGGAUCCAUUUGAUAGCACGAAUAAUGCUUUUAGAGUGUGCCACCAAAAAUUGUCCAAAUCCAACCAAAACUGUUAAAGCCCCUAGGUACCGAAUAUAUGGAUCCCAGUAUCUCUGGAUGACUUUUGACUGAAAAUGUAUCAAUGUAUACAAUUGAAAUUCAGAGAGUCUUUUCCUGAUAAUUGUAUCUUGGUGUAUCAAAAAUGGAUUGAGAAAGUCUUUUCCUGAUAAUUGUAUCUUGGUGUAUCAAAAAUGGAUUGAUUCGGGCCAAUACUUCCCUGAGCCCCCAUAUACCUAAUAUAAAUAUUUUGUGAGAGAGAGUGUUUUACUCAUAACAGUGUAUAUUUGUACCUAAAAUAGAUAAAAUUGUGCGAAAACGUGUCCUAGCCCCGUAUAACUAAUAUCACGAUGGUUGACGUCUUACACCUUCAGCUAUUUCCUUGGUUUUGAUUCCUGCUAGUUUCAAGGGUAUAAGAUGUUAGGCUGCACCCGAACUUAGUCCUUCCUUACUUGUUGAAUGUAUAGCUUUGAUACACCUGAAAGCAUUUUUACGCCUCUGACUUUUGCUAAUUGCGAGAGUAUAAAAUUUUCAUUGAACUUGAACCCUCUCUUACUUGCUUUCCAUUACACUGCUUCAAUUUCAAUACUUUAAGGAGAAAAUAAAAAUGCCAAAAUUUAUGUAUGUAAAUCAUUCGUAUUUAUGUAUAUUAAAUUAACGAAUGUACAUAUAUUUCUAUUAUUACAUUAAAAUCAAGUUAUUCUCUUUUCUUAAUAUUUAUUUACAUAACUUAACAAUUGUUGUGAAACUUAACUCUGAACAUUUUUAAAAUUAAUAGCUGCUUACAAAAUGACAAUAUUAAGACUUUUGUCAUGUGGCAUGAUCCAAUCAAUAUGCAUUCGUUACAUACAUAUGUAUGUGUAUAUGUACAAGUAGGAGUGUGGCUUAAAUAAUUAGAAUGUAAUAUGUUAAUCUAAAUCCAAAAACUUUUUUAUUGUACUCGUAUCCACAAACUAUUAUAUAAAAGUGUUAAUAUAUUAAUACAUAUAUUACACUAAGAUAUCUAAUACAAAAUGCAUUCAAUUGGAUUAAAAACGUACACAUGCCUGCCAUGCUGUUAUUACGUACCUUAUUAUUCCCUAUAUUCGACAACUUUAAGUUCUAUUUACAUCAUAAAUUAUAAAAUCAAUCUUGAAUUUCACAUAUUAAUAUAACUUUAUUGUGAUCGUAUCAGUUAUUCCUCGGUAUUUCAUUAAGUUUUUUGAUUUUUAGAUAUGUGAUCUUAAUUUGACAAUUUGUUUUCGAGAACAAGCCUAUACAAAAAAAUAUAAAUUUUAGAAUUGGUAAAGGAAUUAUUUUUAGAAAACCAAUAAUAUAUAUAUACAGGGGUGUUGUGGAAUCUGAUAGUUGUCGGAAUCAGAAUUGAAACCGAUCAAAAAAAGCAAUAGGUGUCAUGAAUUCAGAUAUUAUUAGUUUGAUAUUCGAAACAGAAUUUGUAUCGGUUUUGGGUGUCGCGGAAACCAAUUUUAUCGGUUUUGCUGUCAGAAACAAAUCAAGAAGAUAGUCGCACACAGAUUUGAAAUAGGAAAACAUAAGCAUAAAACACAAAAUGCCUCAAUUAUUGAAUUUUUGAAAAAAAAAUGCGGAUAUUUAAGUGGGGAGCCUGCAUUAGAGGCUUGAAAUCGAUUUUUUUGGGCAUUUGUCGGACGACGGGCAGUAUGCAGAACACAAUUUCUAUUGGAAAAAAAAUUCAAAAAGAUUACUUUUUGUUAAUAACUUAUGUUCUAGUUAAACUAAUAUAA